GUGCCAGCAGCCGCGGUAAUACGGGGGGUGCAAGCGUUAAUCGGAAUCACUGGGCGUAAAGGGUGCGUAGGCGGUGCAUUAGGUCUGUCGUGAAAUCCCCGGGCUCAACCUGGGAAUGGCGGUGGAAACCGGUGUACUAGAGUAUGGGAGAGGGUGGUGGAAUUCCAGGUGUAGCGGUGAAAUGCGUAGAGAUCUGGAGGAACAUCAGUGGCGAAGGCGGCCACCUGGCCCAAUACUGACGCUGAGGCACGAAAGCGUGGGGAGCAAACAGGAUUAGAUACCCUGGUAGUCCACGCCCUAAACGAUGAAUACUAGAUGUUUGGUGCCACGCGUACUGAGUGUCGUAGCUAACGCGAUAAGUAUUCCGCCUGGGAAGUACGGCCGCAAGGUUAAA
This 394-nucleotide ribosomal RNA is filed under the name uncultured bacterium. Its description in RNAcentral is "bacterial SSU rRNA". It matches the Rfam family "Bacterial small subunit ribosomal RNA", at positions 505 to 898 of the family's 1533-position model. The record is from RNAcentral.